GGAAUCUUCCGCAAUGGACGAAAGUCUGACGGAGCAACGCCGCGUGAGUGAUGAAGGUUUUCGGAUCGUAAAACUCUGUUGUUAGGGAAGAACAAGUACCGGAGUAACUGCCGGUACCUUGACGGUACCUAACCAGAAAGCCACGGCUAACUACGUGCCAGCAGCCGCGGUAAUACGUAGGUGGCAAGCGGUGUCCGGAAUUAUUGGGCGUAAAGCGCGCGCAGGUGGUUUCUUAAGUCUGAUGUGAAAGCCCCCGGCUCAACCGGGGAGGGUCAUUGGAAACUGGGAGACUUGAGUGCAGAAGAGGAAAGUGGAAUUCCAGGUGUAGCGGUGAAAUGCGUAGAGAUUUGGAGGAACACCAGUGGCGAAGGCGACUUUCUGGUCUGUAACUGACACUGAGGCGCGAAAGCGUGGGGAGCGAA
RNAcentral lists this ribosomal RNA (422 nucleotides) under uncultured bacterium. RNAcentral's name for it is "bacterial SSU rRNA". It matches the Rfam family "Bacterial small subunit ribosomal RNA", at positions 358 to 772 of the family's 1533-position model. The record is from RNAcentral.